GCCCCUGGGUCUGUGCAGUUAUCAGCCAGUCCCCUGAGAACUUUCCCCUCCAGCACCAGGGAAAAUGGGAUUUUUGCUUCUUCUAAUUUUCACUGUAGCAGCUUUGGAAGGUGUCCAGUCCCAGGUGCAGCUGGUGGAGUCCGGAGGGGAUGUGAAAAAGCCCGGAGACUCUCUCCGCCUCUCCUGCAAAGCCUCUGGGUUCACCUUCAGCAGUGCCUACAUGAGCUGGGUCCGACAGGCUCCUGGCAAGGGACUGGAAUGGGUCGCUGCUAUAUACCCCGCUGGGAGUACAUAUUACCCUGAUUCAGUGAAAGGCCGAUUCACCAUCUCCAGGGAUAAUUCCAAGAGUGAGCUGUAUCUGCAAAUGACUGGCCUGAAGCCCGAGGACACCGCUCGCUAUUACUGUGCGAGAGACACAGUGAGGGGAAGCUGGUCUGAGCUCAGACAAAAACCUCUCCCUGCAGUAAUCAGAGAAGCAGUUUGCAGUUAUCUCAUGGAUUGGAUCCGUCUGGCCCCUGGGAGGGGGCUGGAGUGGCUGGCCAGAGCUGCUGCCCAGGGGAGCACCUACUACGCUGAUACCGUGCAAGGGCGAUUCACCAUCUCCAGAGACAACGCCAACAGCCUGGUGCAUUUGCAAAUCAGCAGCCUGAGAGCGGAGGACACCGCCCUGUAUUACUGUGUCAGAGACACACAGCCAGGGACCUGGGACAAAAACCGAGCGCUGUCUUAG
Non-coding RNA from Malaclemys terrapin pileata, 730 nucleotides. The record is from the annotation of a RefSeq genome assembly. NCBI's taxonomy places the organism in Eukaryota, Metazoa, Chordata, Testudines, Emydidae.